Molecule: ribosomal RNA, 497 nt
Filed under: uncultured bacterium
Lineage: Bacteria
Description: partial 16S ribosomal RNA
Rfam family: Bacterial small subunit ribosomal RNA
Source: RNAcentral
GAUGAACGCUGGCGGCGUGCCUAAUACAUGCAAGUCGAGCGAACGGACGAGAAGCUUGCUUUUCUGAUGUUAGCGGCGGACGGGUGAGUAACACGUGGAUAACCUACCUAUAAGACUGGGAUAACUUCGGGAAACCGGAGCUAAUACCGGAUAAUAUUUUGAACCGCAUGGUUCAAAAGUGAAAGACGGUCUUGCUGUCACUUAUAGAUGGAUCCGCGCUGCAUUAGCUAGUUGGUAAGUUAACGGCUUACCAAGGCAACGAUGCAUAGCCGACCUGAGAGGGUGAUCGGCCACACUGGAACUGAGACACGGUCCAGACUCCUACGGGAGGCAGCAGUAGGGAAUCUUCCGCAAUGGGCGAAAGCCUGACGGAGCAACGCCGCGUGAGUGAUGAAGGUCUUCGGAUCGUAAAACUCUGUUAUUAGGGAAGAACAUAUGUGUAAGUAACUGUGCACAUCUUGACGGUACCUAAUAAGAAAGCAACGGCUAACUACGUG